UGGGGAAUAUUGCACAAUGGGCGAAAGCCUGAUGCAGCGACGCCGCGUGAGGGAUGACGGCCUUCGGGUUGUAAACCUCUUUCAGCAGGGACGAAGCGAAAGUGACGGUAGGUGCAGAAGAAGGACCGGCCAACUACGUGC
RNAcentral lists this ribosomal RNA (141 nucleotides) under uncultured bacterium. RNAcentral describes it as "partial 16S ribosomal RNA". It matches the Rfam family "Bacterial small subunit ribosomal RNA", at positions 355 to 508 of the family's 1533-position model. The record is from RNAcentral.